This 218-nucleotide ribosomal RNA is filed under the name Pheidole tristis group sp. D GR-2021. Its description in RNAcentral is "partial large subunit ribosomal RNA". The record is from RNAcentral. Lineage: Eukaryota; Metazoa; Arthropoda; Insecta; Hymenoptera; Formicidae.
GAAUUUUAUAUUAAUUUAUUAUAUAAUUUUAAAAAGGAAUUUGAUAAAUUUAUAUUUUAUUGGGAGGAUAAAUAAAUUAAAAGAACUUUAAUAGUUAAAAAUCCAUAAAUUUAUGAAAUUAUUAAUGAAUGAGUGGUUAUUAAAUUUAAUUAGAAUUAAUUACCUUAGGGAUAACAGCGUAAUAUUUUUAGAGAGAUCUUAUUAAUAAAGAUGAUUGC